Molecule: long non-coding RNA, 1100 nt
Filed under: Ursus maritimus (polar bear)
Lineage: Eukaryota; Metazoa; Chordata; Mammalia; Carnivora; Ursidae
Description: lncRNA (ENSUMAG00000017647.1)
Source: RNAcentral
ACAGGAAGGGGAGGAGCCCGUGUGGUCUGGGUCCCACAGUCAUGGUUUCCCUGUGGGCCAGCCGGUUCUCUGGCCAGACCUUGAUGCUCCAGGUCAGCCUCUUCCUGGGCGGGACACAGGACUGUUGGCAGAAACCACCAGAAUGCAGAGCCCUUCCCAGCCUUUCAUGGGAUCGGAUUUGGUCCUUUUCCGUGUGUCCUGUGAGUUCCAGGAGGGCACUUGGAGCGUGAACACCAGGAACACGGAUCCUGUAAGGAUUGUGGCACCAACGUCUCUCCAGUGGUUUUUCUCCGUCUUCCUGUGACUGGAACUCCAUCUCCUUCUCAGAGUGAAGAGUCUCUUCUGUAGUCUGUGAGAUGUCCCUUCCUAAAUUGCUUAAGUAUCAGUCAGACAGACAGAGAGACAGGAGUGGGGCAGCUGGCAGACCCACAGGUGCGCACGUCACCUGCCGCGCUGGGUGAGCUCCUGCCUCCGUCUACACUACACGGUUGGUCUCCGGAAAUUCCCUCCCUCCCAGCUUUUCCUGAAGCCCGGCCACUUGUCUUCUCUUGGAUCAUGGAGCUCCCUGUUCAAGACCCAGCAUCGCUGUGCGGAAACCUGCUGUCUCCUACCCUAAGGUGUUUUGUCUGAAAGAUAAAAUCCUGACUCAGUGGCACCUGGGUACACGCAGGAUCUCGUCUCUGCAACCCUUCACCGCCUGCCCCAAAAACCUAACCGCCUAAAAGAUGAAAUUAAAAAUCAGCAAAUAACUGAUGUGGGAAACAAAGGAAGAAGAAAAAUUAUUAAAUUUCCUUAUUACCUACAGCCCAUUGACAAGUCCUUGGAACAGGCCGAGGGACCUUCCUGUAGGGACUCAGCUGCCUCAUGUUGAACUUUGCUAAGGGCAAAAGGCAACCUUAGCCCAACCCCCAGGACCCUGUGAAGCUAUUUUAACAUAAUAGAGCUUCCUUUGGAAACUUCCUUUAUCUCUACCCCCCAAGAUGCAUGUUGGCAAUCAUCCCCCAAGCACAUGACCCAUUGAUAUAUAUCUGAAGGGUCUCAUGACUAAGGUUUUAUUAGACGGUAAUAAAUGACCUUUUCCCAAUAAUAGCUCGCCCCCU